AGAGUUUGAUCCUGGCUCAGAUUGAACGCUGGCGGCAUGCCUAACACAUGCAAGUCGGACGGUAACAGGUCUUCGGAUGCUGACGAGUGGCGGACGGGUGAGUAAUGCGUAGGAAUCUGUCUUUUAGUGGGGGACAACCCAGGGAAACUUGGGCUAAUACCGCAUGAGCCCUGAGGGGGAAAGCGGGGGAUCUUCGGACCUCGCGCUAAGGGAGGAGCCUACGUCUGAUUAGCUAGUUGGUAGGGUAAAGGCCUACCAAGGCGACGAUCAGUAGCUGGUCUGAGAGGACGACCACCACACUGGACUGAGACACGCC
RNAcentral lists this ribosomal RNA (316 nucleotides) under uncultured bacterium. RNAcentral describes it as "bacterial SSU rRNA". It matches the Rfam family "Bacterial small subunit ribosomal RNA", at positions 8 to 332 of the family's 1533-position model. The record is from RNAcentral.